Molecule: long non-coding RNA, 161 nt
Organism: Chelonia mydas (Green sea turtle)
Lineage: Eukaryota; Metazoa; Chordata; Testudines; Cheloniidae
Exons: 3
Source: RefSeq, a predicted model, not a curated record
GUUUCUAUCGCCAUUCCAGUGCUAUGAAACAGAUUAUCUCCUUAUGAUGAGUGAACUACUAUCCUCUCUUUUUCCCCUCUCUCCUUAGAAGCACAAGUCUCCUGCAGAUAAAGGGCUGGAUAAGUUCAUGUUCAACAAUAACAUUUGUCAUAUAAGCAACA